UGAUUACCUCAUCACUUACAGCCACACCAGAAGCCUGGAAAGAAAAGAAAGAGAAAUUUUACAUCAUGUGAAAAGUACAAACAGGUUGGUAGGCUGUUUGCUCAUGUUCAAGGGUGUGGAAUGUGCAGGUGAGCAUGCUAGGACUGGUUCUUUUUGGCUCAGAAAUGUGUGCAGGUGCAUUCCUGAUGAUGUAUCUUUGGGUGGAGGAGGAGAUGUUUUGUUAAGAUACACCAACAAGAAGUAUUUCAUUAAGUGUUGAAGGCUAAAUGGUCAGGCCAGGAUGCUUAAAACAAUUUCAAAACAUUUCCUGUCAGAAGUGUACAACAAAAGUGUAAAAUAAAACAACUCACUGGUCAUCCCAUCACAAAUGGUCAAAUCAGAUUGUGCGAGUUUUUAAUUUUCCUAAAAAAAAAAAAUUACUUUACUAGGUUUAACAGUAGUGGCAAUCUUUGUGUCAUGGCACACAGCAAAUUCUGAUUAUACAGCUUUUUACGAAAAUCUCAAUAUCUCGGCUCAAUAUGGGCCUAGCUCCUUGGAAUAUUGGAUCAUUUUCCUCAAUAAAUAAAUGACCAAGUAUAAUAUUUUUGUCUCAUUUAUUUAAUUGUGUUCUCUUUAUCUACUUUUUGGACAAACAUCUGAUGAUGUUUUAGGUCAUAUUUAUGCAGAUAUAUAGAAAUAUCUAACUUCACAAACUUUCAAGCACCACUGUAGAGAACUUAUUUCUGACAAAAUUUCAGGUUCGUAUCUGAUCCCCCACCAGAGAUAUUCAACCCAAAAUUGAGGGAUUUUUUUUUUAAUUGCCACUUUCUCCUCCCCAUAAAAAUUAAGCAAAGUCUUAAACCUGAAAUGUUCUGCAUGCACACUAUACUUGCCUAGGUACCCCCUAAAAAAUAAGACAGACUCAAACCCUUCCUAUUAUAAACUGACCCUAAAUGUGGAACUGUGAGCCAUCUUGAGCAUUACAUUUGGACUUAAGUUCUAAGUUGAGUUAGGCUGUGUCUCGUGUUCAAGGGUGUGGUGUGUGCAGGUGAGCAUGCUAGGACUGGUUCUCUUUGGCUGAAAGAAUGUGUGCAUGUGCAUUUCUAAUGAUGCAUCAUUGGGUGGAGGUGGAGAUGUUAAGAUACACCAGCACGAAGUAAUCCAUUAAGGCUUAAAGGGCAGGCCUGGAUGCUUAAAACAAUUUUAACACAUUUCCUUCCAGAAGUGUCAAAAAACAAAUCAUAUGUUUUGUAUAGCCUUAAAAAAACACCUAUAUUUAUCAGAAUAACAACAUUUAUAAUUGUUUAUAAAUUCAUGGUAGAAAUUUUGCCUUUAAAAUUUUUUUUUAAAUAUAUUCUAUUCAAAAAUCGACAUUUUUUCUGUACAUUCUAAGGAGGGGAGUAUAUUGUCAAGUAAAAUAUUUCUACUGGAAAACUCCCCAUCCACUGUGUUAGGAAGACCUUUACACUUGCACUUCAAGCAGUUAUCUAAUCAGCAGGAGCACAAUGCAAAAAAAAAAAUCAUGCAGAUAAAGGUCAGAAACUCUUCAAUGAAGAAAAAGUGUGAUCUCUGUGACUUUGAUCAUGGCAUGGAUGUUGGUAACAGAUGGGCUGGUUUGAGUAUUUCAUAAACUGCUGAUAUCCUGAGAUUUUCACACACAAUAGUCUCUAGAGUUUACACAGAAUUUUGCGGAAAACAAAAAACACUGAGUCAGAGACAGUUCUGUGGGUGUAAAUGCCUUGUUGAUAAGAGAGGUCAGAGGAAAAGGGCCAGAUUGUUUUGAGCUGUCCAGUUUCGGUGAGUCUGUGCCCAUGAUAGCCCCAGAUUUUUGUUCUUGGCUGACAGGAGUGGAAUCUGAUGUGAUCUGCUGCCAGAGAGAGAUAGUUUGUAUAUAAUGUAACCUUAGUUUUGACAGGUAUAGGUCAAAGGUCAAAAAGAUACAUAUUCUCACUCUCUAUAUCUAGAUCAAAGGUCAUGAUCAUAAAAAUAUUUAUAGUUAUGUUAAAUCGGGAUCACAUACAUUCGUGACACAAACGUUACCUUACAUGUUACGGCCAUGUGUAUUCCAGACACACACACACGUUGCACACAUGUUCUUUCUUUAUACAUAGAAGGUGAAACUCUCUGAGGUAGGUCAUAAAAAUAUAUAUAGUUAUGUUAAAUCUGGAUCACAUGCAUUCGUGACACAAACGUUACCAUAUCUGGUACGGCCAUAUGUAUUCCAGACACCCACACACAUUGCACAUGUUCUUUCUAACACUCUGAGGUAGGUCAUAAAAAUAUAUAUAGUUAUGUUAAAUCGGGUUCCCAUCUAUUCCUGACACAAACGUUACUAGUUAUGUUAAAUCGGGUUCCCAUCCAUUCCUGACACAAAUGUUACUAUACAUGGAAUGGCCAUGUGUAUUACACACACACACAUCCAAACAAAAAUAUGACACACAAACACACUUCAUUUUCACAUUAUUUAAAAGGAAUUUAAGUGUUAUGUACUAAAUUACCAUAAUUAUGAACACAAGUUGUUAAGUUGACAAUCAUUUAUAAAAUUACAUUUCUCCAUUUAGACUGUCUGCAGUAGAAUGCAGUCUUUUAAACCAGGAAAAAUGACUGCCUUUAAGUUGUAUAACAAUAGUAAGUAAAAUCCAGUGUGAUUUACAUUACAAAUCUCAUACGUAACAUCUCUGCAGGAUUUAUAGACGUUAAAGCACUGAAUGAAAUGAGCAAUAUAGACAAAAAAUAAACAAUCUGUGUCUACUACUUUUAUCUCUCUCAUAGAACUAUCCACAGUCCAAAGGCAGUGGAUCUAGAAGCAAAAAGAAGUUUUGUAUAGCUCCGCUGUUAGAAAAUACAUGAUGAUUGAAUGUGAACAUAAAUGAGCAGAAUGUAAGCUUGUGAAAUAAAUGAAACUUUAUUGAUUGCACUUUUGAGAAAAUGGCAUGACUUUGAAUAAAAUUUUACUGAAAUAAAUACUCUAAAACAUUGAUAUACCCGAAGAAAUGUAAAAAAAAAAAAAAAAAAAGAAAAGAAAAAAAAAGUUUUUAGAUACCUUCUAAAUAGGUCCUUUUAGGAGGUAAACGUUUUAAAGACGGUGUUUUAUAAGAAACGCGCGCAUGACAUGCAUUCUAAACCUAACCCUUUAGGAUGUAAAAUGUUUAAAGUGCUGCUUAAAAGAAUCGAGAGUUUUGUUUAAACUAGAAGACACAUUUUCCGGGCGAUGUCUUGUAGGCCUAUACACACUGUCCUACACAUGUGUUUUCCCGUGGUGACAGUUCUGUAGAUAGUGUAAAUUUUACAUUUAUGAGCUCUGGUGACAGUGUCUGAAGUGUGUGUGUAUGUGGGUGUGUGGGUGUGCGUGCGUGUGGGUGGGUGUGUUAGAGAGAGAGAGAGAGAGAGAGAGAGAGAGAGAGAGAGAGAGAGAGAGAGAAAGAGACAGAGAGAGAGAGAGAGAGAGAGUCAUGUGUUUCUUGGGGGUUUGCUGACCAGAAUGCUUACAGUGUGUUUAUGUUAAUGAAUUAAGGGACGAGUCGUGUGUUUCAGGGUUUAACGAUCCCUACCAAUGUGUACAUUUGUGGUUUAAGUGAAUCUUUGUUUUUGAAAUUACAUCUGUGGUAAUUAUUAGUUUGUGUAACUAAUCUAUCAGAAAAUACUAGAUCUGGUGACUGAAUGUGGUAGAUGUAUUAGAAUUUUGGACAUGUUAUGCAUGUGUAGCUCCCUAUGUGUAUGAUCUAUGUGUAAUCCUUCUGUCAAGAAAUGAACAGACUGAGGUUUGUGAAAUAAUUGAACUAUUUAUUGGCUACGUUGUUGAGAAAAACACUGUGAUGUGUAAAACAUUUCUACAGUCCUUCAACGCUGUAUGAUGUCAUUGUUCUCUUUUACUGAAAGAAAGGUCAAAACCAUCGGUGUUAUUCGGUGUGGAGACUGAAGUGACAAUAUGUCUGAAGAAAAUGGAAAUAUGUAUUACAUAUCCUACCUUCUAACCAGGUUAUUUUAAGGGUGAAAAAACCUUUUUUAAAGACGGUGUUUUAAAAGAGUCGUGCAUUUUGUUUAAACUAUAAACAAGAUUUCAGAAAAUGGUUCGCCAACGAGGAUACUUACACAGAACUAUCGCUAAAUACAUAAGCUUUUGUCUAUGCUUUGACAUCCCAUGUCCCAGCAGUACAUUUAUGACCUCUGAUGACCAUGUGGGUGUGCGGGGGUGUGUGUGUGAGAGAGAGAGAGACACAGGUGUUCUUUUGGGGGUUUUGCUGACCAGAAUUCUUACAAAUGCGUUUGUUAACGAAUUAAAGGGAGUCGUGUGUCUCAGUGUUAAAAUAAUGGUUAAGAUGUCAUAGUUAAAACACAGAAGAAACUCUGCAACUAUCUGUUACAAUGUCUGCUCCGAGAAAUCCUAACAAUGUGUCAGGAAUGGAUGUAAUCCAGAUUUAACAUAACUAUAUAUAUUUUUAUGACCUACCUCAGAGUGUUAGAAAGAACAUGUGCAACUUGUGUGGGUGGAAAACAUAUGGCCGUACCAGGUAUGGUAACGUUUGUGUCAGGAAUGGAUGUGAUCCAGAUUUAACAUAACUAUAUAUAUAUUUUAUGACCUACCUCAGAGUGUUAGAAAGAACAUGUGUGCAACGUUUGUGGGUGGAACACAUAUGGCCGUACCAGGUAUGGUAACGUUUGUGUCAGGAAUGGAUGUGACCCAGAUUUAACAUAACUAUAUAUAUUUUUAUGACCUACCUCAGAGUGUUAGAAAGAACAUGUGUGUGCAACUUGUGUGGGUGGAAAACACAUGGCCGUACCAGGUAUGGUAACGUUUGUGUCACGAAUGUAUGUGAUCCAUAUUUUACAUAACUACAUAUAUUUUUAUGACCUACCUCAGAGAGUUUCAUAUUCUAUGUGAAAAGAAAGAACAUGUGUGCAACGUGUGUGUGUGCCUGGAAUACACAUGGCCGUACCAUGCAUGGUAACGUUUGUGUCACGAAUGUAUGUGAUCCCGAUUUAACAUAACUAUAAAUAUUUUUAUGAUCAUGACCUUUGAUCUAGAUAUAGAGAGUGAGAAUAUGUAUCUUUUUGACCUUUGACCUAUACCUGUCAAAACUAAGGUUGCAUUAUAUACAAACUAUCUCUCUCUGCUGCCGCUGUAGCCCAUCCACCUUAAGGUUUGAUGUGUUGUGCAUUAUGAGAUGCUUUUCUGCACACCAUGGUUAUAAAGAGUGCUUAUUUAAAAUACUAUAGACUUCCUGUCAGCUCAGGUCAGUCUAUUCAUUCUCCUCUGAUCUCUCUUAUCAACAAGCUGUUUCAGCCUGCAGACCCUCCACACACAGGAUGUUUUUUGGUUUUCGCACCAUUCUGUGUAAUUUCUUGCUAAUGAUUUUUUUUGUUCAUACAUAUGCAAUUAUAAAUAAAUUGAGUAAUUUUCUAAGUUUUUUAUUUAUUAGAAUAGACUUUGGAAAAUGUAGAUGUGCAAAAAUAGUAAUAGCACCAAUUAUAGCAAAGAGUGCAAACAAUGGUUCUUUCAAAUAAAGAAUAUUUAAAGAAAUGAUUUUAAAAAAAUACUAUUUGCACUAUUUGUGCUGUUGCUAUUAAUGGCGCCGUUACUAUUUUUGCACAACUUAGUGAACCCUUCUUUCUCAACAUAGUAAAUGGGAACCCGAAUAUCCCUACUACCCUACUACACAGUAGGCAAAAAGCAGUACGCCAAAGGAGUAGUGUGUCUGAAUUUUCAGUAUUUGUAAAACAUUAGGUGAGAAAUGCUAGUGCGACCUACUGAUUCCCUGAGAUUCUGCAGUAUGGAACCAUAGACAUACCACGUAUCCAAAACUGCAUACUUUGACAGUAGCUACUGCAAUUGUUUCGGUACACUCUUACAAGAAACAGUUCAAUAUAGAGCCUUACAGGGUUCUAUAGAAUGCUUCAUAUUUGGAACCCCGAAAACAUUCUAUAUAGAACCUUUUUAAGGGCUUCAAUCAAAGAACCCUAUAAGGUCCUUUGAAAAACAUUUAAAAAAUAAUUACACAGCUACAACGCAUGAGAGAUGCAGCUUUGGAUACCCUACAAGGUUCUUUGUGUCCUGUGAAAAGUUUCUAUCUAGAACUUUUUAUGGGUUCAUUCAUUUUCAUGGAUUUAAUAUUUUAUUGUUAGUUGUCCUUUACUGAAAAUAUUAUGGCAAAGUCAAAUAAAUAUUUCAUAUUAUUGACAGCUUAAAUAACCACAGAAGAAUUACAUUUUUAAUUAAUAAAUAAUAUUUAAUAGAGUAGCGUGGGAUAGAUUUCAAUGACUGUAAACAUGACACAAAUAUCAGUAAAAUAAUGAAAAUAUUUUUAUAUAAACCUAAAUCAUUAGUGCAUAGUGUGAGAAUUUAAGAAAUAUGUUAACUAUUAGAAUUACUAUUACUAUGCAAAUGUGGCAGGACAAGUGAUUUAACUAUCUGAGCCCCAGUACCUGUGAGUAAUCAUACAACUUUGCGUCUGGUGUUUGUUCAACCGAAGUUUAAGUACCCCUCUCCCUUUUUCACAUUGGAACUUGGUAGAUUUAGUUUGACACUACGAUCUUUGUGUUAAGGUAAGAGUGGGGAGUUGAGCACCUAAUCUUCUCUAAGACAAUGCCGAGACUCUACAUGUGACGCCACUGCUGUUUUGCUUGACCGUCGUUUUCUUGAUUGCUUUGUUCUGCUUUGUUUUGCUUGACAGCUUUGCUUAUGGGCACUUUGCUGGGCUGGUUCACUUACGGUCUUUGCUUUGGUCAUGUUGCUUAGCAGCACGCUUGGCAUGUCUGUUUACAUGCCUCGCCUCCACUGUGUUGCAUAUCAGCUUUACUUGUUGCUGGUGUAAUAUUUAUUUUGCUUUUCUCUGUUUGUGCUGUCUUCUUUCCUUUUUCUGUUAUUUUUCAUUGCUUUCGUUGACUUUAGUUUUGGAUAUAUUUUUGGCUUGCAACCACAAGCCAGGGGUUGUGAGGGGCUCACUAUUAAAUUGGUGUGUUUUCCAGCCUCAAACCUGUUCUUUCAGGUUUGUUUUCCCACACAAUCACCUUAAUGAUGGGGUGUAUGUUGUGGCUUUGUCCUAUUGUCUCCAUGCUAUAGUGGCUAUACUUUUUUUUUAGUUAUGGUUUACCAUAAUUCUGUUUCUGCUUAGGUGCUGUUUAACUGCCUCUAUUGCAUGUGGUGGUGUCGGUGGGCCUGGGUGUUCUAGCCACCACACCAUGGUGUCUGUAAUAUUUUUGUUUUUUGUUUGUUACGUGUUGUGAAAUUUUGGGUUAAUUGGUGUUUUUCUUUCUUUUCUUUCUCUCCAGGAGCUAGUCAGUCUUGGUGUGGGACAAGGGAGGCUAACUACCUUCAUUCGGUGGUGUGUGCUUCACAGCAUGCUCAGUGUGUCAACACAACUUCCUUAUGGUGUAGGUAGUGUUUGAUGAUUUUGGUGUGAAUUAAGGUGGGUGUGGAUGACCUUCCGAGCUGUAGCUGACCUGCCUUGUUCCAUCCAAGCCUGGGCCUGGAGAAGUGCUUAGUUUUUUAAAAUUCUUAUGGGAGGGCGAUUUUAUAUUUGUGUUAAGGCUUAAUGAUGCUUAAGUGUUAUAAUAUAUAUUUUUUAUAUUCAUA
This is a long non-coding RNA of Ictalurus punctatus (channel catfish), 7552 nucleotides long. RefSeq lists it as uncharacterized. NCBI's taxonomy places the organism in Eukaryota, Metazoa, Chordata, Actinopteri, Siluriformes, Ictaluridae. The transcript is spliced from 2 exons. The record is from RefSeq and is a predicted model, not a curated record.